GGGUUGUGAGGUUAAGCGACUAAGCGUACACGGUGGAUGCCCUGGCAGUCAGAGGCGAUGAAGGACGUGCUAAUCUGCGAAAAGCGUCGGUAAGGUGAUAUGAACCGUUAUAACCGGCGAUGUCCGAAUGGGGAAACCCAGUGCAAUUCGUUGCACUAUCGUUAACUGAAUACAUAGGUUAACGAGGCGAACCGGGGGAACUGAAACAUCUAAGUACCCCGA
Molecule: ribosomal RNA, 222 nt
Filed under: Klebsiella pneumoniae
Lineage: Bacteria; Pseudomonadati; Pseudomonadota; Gammaproteobacteria; Enterobacterales; Enterobacteriaceae
Description: partial 23S ribosomal RNA
Rfam family: Bacterial large subunit ribosomal RNA
Source: RNAcentral